Molecule: ribosomal RNA, 414 nt
Filed under: uncultured eukaryote
Lineage: Eukaryota
Description: SSU rRNA
Rfam family: Eukaryotic small subunit ribosomal RNA
Source: RNAcentral
CAAUAGCGUAUAUUAAAGUUGUUGCGGUUAAAAGCUCGUAGUUGGAUUUCUGCCGAGGACGACCGGUCCGCCCUCUGGGUGAGUAUCUGGUUCGGCCUGGGCAUCUUCUUGGAGAACGUAUCUGCACUUGACUGUGUGGUGCGGUAUCCAGGACUUUACUUGAGGAAAUUAGAGUGUUUCAAGCAGGCACACGCCUUGAAUACAUUAGCAUGGAAUAAUAAGAUAGGACCUUGGUUCUAUUUUGUUGGUUUCUAGAGCUGAGGUAAUGAUUAAUAGGGAUAGUUGGGGGCAUUCGUAUUUAACUGUCAGAGGUGAAAUUCUUAGAUUUUCUUAAGACGAACAAAUGCGAAAGCAUCUGCCAAAGAUGUUUUCAUUGAUCAAGAACGAGAGUUAAGGGAUCGAAGACGAUCAGAU